UAGGGAAUCUUCGGCAAUGGACGAAAGUCUGACCGAGCAACGCCGCGUGAGUGAAGAAGGUUUUCGGAUCGUAAAACUCUGUUGUUAGAGAAGAACGUUGCAUAGAGUGGAAAAUUAUGCAAGUGACGGUAUCUAACCAGAAAGGGACGGCUAACUACGUGCCAGCAGCCGCGGUAAUACGUAGGUCCCGAGCGUUGUCCGGAUUUAUUGGGCGUAAAGCGAGCGCAGGUGGUUUAAUAAGUCUGAUGUAAAAGGCAGUGGCUCAACCAUUGUGUGCAUUGGAAACUGUUAGACUUGAGUGCAGUAGAGGAGAGUGGAAUUCCACGUGUAGCGGUGAAAUGCGUAGAUAUAUGGAGGAACACCGGUGGCGAAAGCGGCUCUCUGGACUGUCACUGACACUGAGGCUCGAAAGCGUGGGUAGCAAACAGGAUUAGAUACCCUGGUAGUCCACGCCGUAAACGAUGAGUGCUAGUUGUUUGGGGCUAUCCAGCCCUAAGUGACGCAGCAAACGCAUUAAGCACUCCGCCUGGGGAGUACGACCGCAAGGUUGAAAC
This 554-nucleotide ribosomal RNA is filed under the name uncultured bacterium. Its description in RNAcentral is "partial 16S ribosomal RNA". It matches the Rfam family "Bacterial small subunit ribosomal RNA", at positions 355 to 900 of the family's 1533-position model. The record is from RNAcentral.